Molecule: ribosomal RNA, 116 nt
Filed under: Pteropus alecto (black flying fox)
Lineage: Eukaryota; Metazoa; Chordata; Mammalia; Chiroptera; Pteropodidae
Source: RNAcentral
GCCUACAAAAGUCUCCAUAAAAACCCAAAAGGCAUCUGAUCUCGGAAGCUAAGCAGGGUCGGGCCUGGUUAGUACUUGGAUGGGAGACCACCUAGGAAGAUCAGGCGCUAUAGGCG